This 59-nucleotide microRNA precursor is filed under the name Chrysemys picta bellii (western painted turtle). Its description in RNAcentral is "Cpi-Mir-7147_pre stem-loop". The record is from RNAcentral. Lineage: Eukaryota; Metazoa; Chordata; Testudines; Emydidae.
UGUACCAUGCUGGUAGCCAGUGUAAUACAAAGCCUUGCUGGCUACUAGUGUUGUACCUC